Molecule: long non-coding RNA, 815 nt
Organism: Microplitis mediator
Lineage: Eukaryota; Metazoa; Arthropoda; Insecta; Hymenoptera; Braconidae
Exons: 3
Source: RefSeq, a predicted model, not a curated record
AUCGCGACUCUAAAUUUUCCACUAGUUAUCUGGUUUUUCAAAACUCCAAAAUUACGGUAACCUGUGCUUUGCCUUGAGGGUAAUAAAUAUGAAAUUGAAACAACCGUGCUCGUUACAAGUGUAGUGUUAGAGUGCAAAACUUUUAACUGUGUUCCCAUACAACAUUGGGCGUAAAAUUUGAAAACUUCUUAAUACAAGGCGACCCGCGGCAGAAACCAGUAGCAACAUGCCAGAAUUCGUUUCUAUGCGGUACUUUAACCACCGUGUUCUCCGGCUUCCGAGGGAUACUAACCAACGGCUCGUAGCAAUUUUAGGGAUGCUAUGUGAGGGUCUUUAUCCCCCUUUGGUGGCCCUGGAUCUUAUGGACGAGAUGGAGAAAAUAGUCGGUCUCCCGGCUGUUUUCGGUGACAUCUAUUCUUAUCUCGAGCGUAUCCACGAGUUACGGGUGCACCAGUAUUCUCGAGCUAGGAUCACGCUCGAAGAGUAUAACCGGCCCUGUUAUUAUCCGGGUGACCUAGGUCCCAUCGAGGAUAUACUCCACGUCAUCCAAAAUCUCUUGGGCUCCUUCUUCUCACGUCACGUAUAGUGCAUAAGAUGCUAUCGCGAAAAUAAUUUAAAAUUUCUAAGAUCAUAUAAUAUCCCAGUACUAAUACACACUCAUCAGAUUAAUUUGUAUUUCAAAAAAUUUCAUUUCAAUCGUUUUAUUUUGAAUAUUAUUUUUAGGGAGUUCACAGUUUCUUUUCCAGUUACCAAAUUUUCUAACAUAAAAUUUUAUCAGUCUGUAGACUUCUAAUUACAAUGAGAAUUUUUUUCAA